AAAGCGUUUAAAGGCAGCUCCAGCGCUUUGGCAAUGCUGGGAAGCCAAGCUUCCUCUUGGCAGGGUUUCGAAGUGGUGUCAGGCUGCUUCUGAACCCCACUGCAGUUGAAGUGCUGACUGCAAACAGUCCAGCUUCGGAGAAAAUAUCUCCGUUCCUGGUGAUGAUAGGAAGAUCAGUACCCACCCUGUGUUUACAGAGCAAUUGCUGCACUGAACAAGAUGUUGAAAGAUCUCAGGUUUGGACACAAAAGAAAGGAUACAUCUUUAAAGAAGCCUGACUCCUUUCCUCAUGUGUUAAGAUAA
Eptesicus fuscus (big brown bat) is the source of this 303-nucleotide long non-coding RNA. RefSeq lists it as uncharacterized. The transcript is spliced from 3 exons. Lineage: Eukaryota; Metazoa; Chordata; Mammalia; Chiroptera; Vespertilionidae. The record is from RefSeq and is a predicted model, not a curated record.